GACGAACGCUGGCGGCGUGCUUAACACAUGCAAGUCGAACGGAAAGGCCCUGCUUUUGUGGGGUGCUCGAGUGGCGAACGGGUGAGUAACACGUGAGUAACCUGCCCUUGACUUUGGGAUAACUUCAGGAAACUGAGGCUAAUACCGGAUAGGAGCUCCUGCUGCAUGGUGGGGGUUGGAAAGUUUCGGCGGUUGGGGAUGGACUCGCGGCUUAUCAGCUUGUUGGUGGGGUAGUGGCUUACCAAGGCUUUGACGGGUAGCCGGCCUGAGAGGGUGACCGGCCACAUUGGGACUGAGAUACGGCCCAGACUCCUACGGGAGGCAGCAGUGGGGAAUAUUGCACAAUGGGCGGAAGCCUGAUGCAGCAACGCCGCGUGCGGGAUGACGGCCUUCGGGUUGUAAACCGCUUUCGCCUGUGACGAAGCGUGAGUGACGGUAAUGGGUAAAGAAGCACCGGCUAACUACGUGCCAGCAGCCGCGGUGAUACGUAGGGUGCGAGCGUUGUCCGGAUUUAUUGGGCGUAAAGGGCUCGUAGGUGGUUGAUCGCGUCGGAAGUGUAAUCUUGGGGCUUAACCCUGAGCGUGCUUUCGAUACGGGUUGACUUGAGGAAGGUAGGGGAGAAUGGAAUUCCUGGUGGAGCGGUGGAAUGCGCAGAUAUCAGGAGGAACACCAGUGGCGAAGGCGGUUCUCUGGGCCUUUCCUGACGCUGAGGAGCGAAAGCGUGGGGAGCGAACAGGCUUAGAUACCCUGGUAGUCCACGCUGUAAACGGUGGGUACUAGGUGUGGGGUCCAUUCCACGGGUUCCGUGCCGUAGCUAACGCUUUAAGUACCCCGCCUGGGGAGUACGGCCGCAAGGCUAAAACUCAAAGGAAUUGACGGGGCCCCGCACAAGCGGCGGAGCAUGCGGAUUAAUUCGAUGCAACGCGUAGAACCUUACCUGGGUUUGACAUGGAUCGGGAGUGCUCAGAGAUGGGUGUGCCUCUUUUGGGGUCGGUUCACAGGUGGUGUAUGGCUGUCGUCAGCUCGUGUCGUGAGAUGUUGGGUUAAGUCCCGCAACGAGCGCAACCCUUGUUCACUGUUGCCAGCACGUUAUGGUGGGGACUCAGUGGAGACCGCCGGGGUCAACUCGGAGGAAGGUGGGGAUGACGUCAAGUCAUCAUGCCCCUUAUGUCCAGGGCUUCACGCAUGCUACAAUGGCUGGUACAGAGAGUGGCGAGCCUGUGAGGGUGAGCGAAUCUCGGAAAGCCGGUCUCAGUUCGGAUUGGGGUCUGCAACUCGACCUCAUGAAGUCGGAGUCGCUAGUAAUCGCAGAUCAGCAACGCUGCGGUGAAUACGUUCCCGGGGCU
Molecule: ribosomal RNA, 1346 nt
Filed under: uncultured bacterium
Lineage: Bacteria
Description: partial 16S ribosomal RNA
Rfam family: Bacterial small subunit ribosomal RNA
Source: RNAcentral